RNAcentral lists this ribosomal RNA (498 nucleotides) under uncultured Glomeromycotina. Its description in RNAcentral is "partial small subunit ribosomal RNA". It matches the Rfam family "Eukaryotic small subunit ribosomal RNA", at positions 591 to 1092 of the family's 1831-position model. Lineage: Eukaryota; Fungi; Glomeromycota. The record is from RNAcentral.
CCAAUAGCGUAUAUUAAAGUUGUUGCAGUUAAAAAGCUCGUAGUUGAAUUUCGGGGUUCUUCCGUUGGUCAGGCUAACAAGUCUGUACUAGCGUGUAGAAUCUCUACCUUCUGGGGAACCAUCAUGUUAUUAAUUUAGCGUGAUGGGAAACCAGGACCUUUACCUUGAAAAAAUUAGAGUGUUCAAAGCAGGCUUACGUCUGAAUACAUUAGCAUGGAAUAAUAAAAUAGGACGGUGGUCCUGUUUUGUUGGUUUCUGAAUCACCGUAAUGAUUAAUAGGGAUAGUUGGGGGCAUUAGUAUUCAAUUGUCAGAGGUGAAAUUCUUGGAUUUAUUGAAGACUAACUUCUGCGAAAGCAUUUGCCAAGGAUGUUUUCAUUAAUCAAGAACGAAAGUUAGGGGAUCGAAGACGAUCAGAUACCGUCGUAGUCUUAACCAUAAACUAUGCCGACUAGGGAUCGGACGAUGUUAAAUUUUAUUGACUCGUUCGGCGCCUUACG